UUUGGACAAUGGUAGGAGAGCGUUCUAAGGGCGUUGAAGCAUGAUCGUAAGGACAUGUGGAGCGCUUAGAAGUGAGAAUGCCGGUGUGAGUAGCGAAAGACGGGUGAGAAUCCCGUCCACCGAUUGACUAAGGUUUCCAGAGGAAGGCUCGUCCGCUCUGGGUUAGUCGGGUCCUAAGCUGAGGCCGACAGGCGUAGGCGAUGGAUAACAGGUUGAUAUUCCUGUACCACCUAUAAUCGUUUUAAUCGAUGGGGGGACGCAGUAGGAUAGGCGAAGCGUGCGAUUGGAUUGCACGUCUAAGCAGUAAGGCUGAGUAUUAGGCAAAUCCGGUACUCGUUAAGGCUGAGCUGUGAUGGGGAGAAGACAUUGUGUCUUCGAGUCGUUGAUUUCACACUGCCGAGAAAAGCCUCUAGAUAGAAAAUAGGUGCCCGUACCGCAAACCGACACAGGUAGUCAAGAUGAGAAUUCUAAGGUGAGCGAGCGAACUCUCGUUAAGGAACUCGGCAAAAUGACCCCGUAACUUCGGGAGAAGGGGUGCUCUUUAGGGUUAACGCCCAGAAGAGCCGCAGUGAAUAGGCCCAAGCGACUGUUUAUCAAAAACACAGGUCUCUGCUAAACCGUAAGGUGAUGUAUAGGGGCUGACGCCUGCCCGGUGCUGGAAGGUUAAGAGGAGUGGUUAGCUUCUGCGAAGCUACGAAUCGAAGCCCCAGUAAACGGCGGCCGUAACUAUAACGGUCCUAAGGUAGCGAAAUUCCUUGUCGGGUAAGUUCCGACCCGCACGAAAGGCGUAACGAUUUGGGCACUGUCUCAACGAGAGACUCGGUGAAAUCAUAGUACCUGUGAAGAUGCAGGUUACCCGCGACAGGACGGAAAGACCCCGUGGAGCUUUACUGUAGCCUGAUAUUGAAAUUCGGCACAGCUUGUACAGGAUAGGUAGGAGCCUUUGAAACGUGAGCGCUAGCUUACGUGGAGGCGCUGGUGGGAUACUACCCUAGCUGUGUUGG
RNAcentral lists this ribosomal RNA (1004 nucleotides) under Staphylococcus aureus. Its description in RNAcentral is "bacterial LSU rRNA". It matches the Rfam family "Bacterial large subunit ribosomal RNA", at positions 1217 to 2217 of the family's 2925-position model. Lineage: Bacteria; Bacillati; Bacillota; Bacilli; Caryophanales; Staphylococcaceae. The record is from RNAcentral.